GGUCCAGACAGCGUAAGGAUUGACAGGUUGAUUGUCCUUUCUUGAUUCUCUGGGUAGUGGUGCAUGGCCGUUCUUAGUUGGUGGAGUGAUUUGUCUGGUUAAUUCCGUUAACGAACGAGACCUUAACCUGCUAUUUAGUCGCUCGGUCUCCGUCCGUGCGCACUUCAUAGAGGGACUCUGCGGCGUCAAGCUGCGGUGAGGUUUAAGGCAAUAACAGGUCUGUGAUGCCCUUAGAUGUCCUGGGCUGCACGCGCGCUACACUGAUGCUUGCCUCGUGUUUACCCUCGGCCGAUAGGCCCUGGUAACCCCUAGUCUGCAUCGUGUUUGGGAUUGAUCUUUGCAAUUCUAGAUCAUGAACGAGGAAUGCCUAGUAUGCGCAAGUCAUCAGCUUGUGCAGAUUACGUCCCUGCC
RNAcentral lists this ribosomal RNA (411 nucleotides) under Babesia bovis. RNAcentral's name for it is "SSU rRNA". It matches the Rfam family "Eukaryotic small subunit ribosomal RNA", at positions 1221 to 1657 of the family's 1831-position model. The record is from RNAcentral. Lineage: Eukaryota; Apicomplexa; Aconoidasida; Piroplasmida; Babesiidae.